This 230-nucleotide ribosomal RNA is filed under the name uncultured bacterium. Its description in RNAcentral is "partial 16S ribosomal RNA". It matches the Rfam family "Bacterial small subunit ribosomal RNA", at positions 1272 to 1500 of the family's 1533-position model. The record is from RNAcentral.
CCCAAAAAAGACAGUCUCAGUUCGGAUUGAAGGCUGAAAUUCGCCUUCAUGAAGCCGGAAUUGCUAGUAAUGGCAGGUCAGCAUACUGCCGUGAAUACGUUCCCGGGCCUUGUACACACCGCCCGUCCACACCAUGAGAGUUGGGGAUACCCGAAGCCUGUGAGCUAACAGUAAUGAAGCAGCAGUCGAAGGUAGAAUCAAUGAUUGGGGUGAAGUCGUAACAAGGUAAC